AUUGAACGCUGGCGGCAGGCCUAACACAUGCACGUCGAGCGAGCGGCGGACGGGUGAGUAAUGUCUGGGAAACUGCCUGAUGGAGGGGGAUAACUACUGGAAACGGUAGCUAAUACCGCAUACCAUCAGAUUUUCCCAGAUGGGAUUAGCUAGUAGGGGGGGUAACGGCUCACCUAGGCGACGAUCCCUAGCUGGUCUGAGAGGAUGACCAGCCACACUGGAACUGAGACACGGGCCAGACGCCUACGGGAGGCAGUAGUGGGGAAUAUUGCACAAUGGGCGCAAGCCUGAGGCAGCCAUGCCGCGUGUGUGAAGAAGGCCUUCGGGUUGGAAAGCACUGUCAGCGGGGAGGCGUUACCCGCAGAAGAAGCACCGGCUAACUCCGUGCCAGCAGCCGCGGUAAUAC
RNAcentral lists this ribosomal RNA (406 nucleotides) under uncultured bacterium. RNAcentral's name for it is "partial 16S ribosomal RNA". It matches the Rfam family "Bacterial small subunit ribosomal RNA", at positions 29 to 526 of the family's 1533-position model. The record is from RNAcentral.